Acanthosepion pharaonis is the source of this 110-nucleotide non-coding RNA. The record is from the annotation of a GenBank genome assembly. NCBI's taxonomy places the organism in Eukaryota, Metazoa, Mollusca, Cephalopoda, Sepiida, Sepiidae.
UACGGCCACAUGACGUUGAAACACCGGUCCCCGUACGAUCACCGAAGUUAGGCAACAUCGAGCUUGGUCAGUGCCUCGAAGGGUGACCGCUUGGAAAUACCAGGUGCUGU